Molecule: ribosomal RNA, 429 nt
Filed under: uncultured bacterium
Lineage: Bacteria
Description: bacterial SSU rRNA
Rfam family: Bacterial small subunit ribosomal RNA
Source: RNAcentral
UAGGGAAUCUUCGGCAAUGGACGCAAGUCUGACCGAGCAACGCCGCGUGAGUGAAGAAGGUUUUCGGAUCGUAAAACUCUGUUGUUAGAGAAGAACAAGGAUGAGAGUGGAAAGUUCAUCCCUUGACGGUAUCUAACCAGAAAGCUACGGCUAACUACGUGCCAGCAGCCGCGGUAAUACGUAGGUGGCAAGCGUUGUCCGGAUUUAUUGGGCGUAAAGCGAGCGCAGGCGGUCUUUUAAGUCUGAUGUGAAAGCCCCCGGCUUAACCGGGGAGGGUCAUUGGAAACUGGAAGACUUGAGUGCAGGAGAGGAAAGUGGAAUUCUCAGUGUAGCGGUGAAAUGCGUAGAUAUUGGGAAGAACACCAGUAGCGAAGGCGGCUUUCUGGACUGCAACUGACACUGAGGCACGAAAGCGUGGGUAGCAAACAG